Molecule: small RNA, 74 nt
Filed under: Staphylococcus aureus
Lineage: Bacteria; Bacillati; Bacillota; Bacilli; Caryophanales; Staphylococcaceae
Rfam family: Staphylococcus sRNA sau-19
Source: RNAcentral
GUUCUUUAGACAUUAAAAGCUUCUAACAUGAUAUGGAAUCCAAGAUUCCAUAUCAUGUUAGAAGCUUUUUUGUU